UACGUAGGUGGCAAGCGUUGUCCGGAUUUACUGGGUGUAAAUGGAGCGUAGACGGCAAUACAAGUCGGAAGUGAAAUACCCGGGCUCAACCUGGGAACUGCUUUGGAAACUGUAUGGCUGGAGUGCUGGAGAGGUAAGCGGAAUUCCUAGUGUAGCGGUGAAAUGCGUAGAUAUUAGGAGGAACACCAGUGGCGAAGGCGGCUUACUGGACAGUAACUGACGUUGAGGCUCGAAAGCGUGGGGAGCAAACAGG
RNAcentral lists this ribosomal RNA (253 nucleotides) under uncultured bacterium. RNAcentral describes it as "partial 16S ribosomal RNA". It matches the Rfam family "Bacterial small subunit ribosomal RNA", at positions 524 to 776 of the family's 1533-position model. The record is from RNAcentral.